This 6569-nucleotide long non-coding RNA is filed under the name Gossypium barbadense (sea-island cotton). RNAcentral's name for it is "long non-coding RNA (GBAR_LNC021429)". The record is from RNAcentral. Lineage: Eukaryota; Viridiplantae; Streptophyta; Magnoliopsida; Malvales; Malvaceae.
UGACCUUUCCCAUUUCCCCUCCCCAUUUCCCCAACCCCGUUAAAAUUUUAGACAGAAAUCCCUAACCCCUUCCCUUCCCUCCUCCCUUUUUUUCCCCAAAUUGAAAACCCACCUACAGUCCCCACCGAUCCACCAUCCCACCUCCGGUCUCCGGUCCUCCAGCACUCCACCUCCACUCCACGACACUAGGUGGCAUUGUUGUUCUCUUCACUUCGAUUCUUCUGCAACUUCCGAGUCCGACCCAAACCCUUCAAAUCAACAAGUUCAAGCCUUCAAGGUAACUUCUUUCUAUUCUUCUUCACUUUAGUUUUCAUUUUAAUCAUGUAUUUAAGACUUAAGAGAAGGUUGCUCUUUAUUGCUGAGUUUAGUGACGGUGACAUGCUUCGAUUUUUAAUAUACUGUUGCCAUGUUCUCUUUGAACUUUGAAGUUUGAAGUCAUUUGCUAGUGCUUUUCUGUAAAAAUUGUCUAGAUGGGCUUGAUCAUUUUCCAGAUUUUGGCAUGUCAUUUUCCAGAUUUUAUUUUAUUUCCAGAAAAACUGUUUAAAGUUUAAAUAAAAAUUAUUAAGUAUAUAUUUUUAAAAUGAUUGUACUGUGGCGGAAUUUGAAUUUGAAUUUGAAUUUAUUGAUGUAAAAUUAAAAUAUGAAUUACGAUGUUAGGUUUACAUGUAUGAGUAGUAAAUACUUCUUGUCAUUCGUUUUCUUGGUCAACAAACGGGAAUUUGAUCUUAAAGAUCCUUAAGAUUAAAAUACGAAUGAAGUUAGGUUUACAUGGUCAUGUUUUUGCAAAGUCAAAAUUUCAUCUGCUUUUCUUUUUGGUUUGAUCUGUUUUUUGGUUGGUGAGAAAGUGAAUGAAAAGUUGCUGAAAAUGAAUUGAAUUGAAUUUGUUGGUUGAUGUAAAAUGAAUUGAAAAUGAACUGUGGCGGGGUUUUGUUUUUCGUAGAGUUUCGGUUAGUAAAAAUACAUUUUGUAAGCUCAUGGGAUCAAUAUCUAUAAUUAAUAUUAUGUAUAAUAUUGAUAUUUCUUGUGAAUUUACAGAUCAUAUCUCUAUUGGUCGAGGUAUUCCUUAAAUUUAGUGAACCUAAUGAGCUUUCGAACACUGUUUUAAAUUCUCUUAGUACAACAGUGUUUUAAAUUCUCUAAUAAGUAGCCUAUCUACAUUUAUAUCCAUAUGUUAUUUCUUCUUGUAUGAAAACAAACCAAGCAAGUUUUAAUGAACAUAAGAGAAAUAGGACUUUGAGGACGAUGACGACGAUGAGGAUGAUGAUGUUUCUUCGGUAGCUUUUUAAGAUACUUUCCUUCUAAAUAUGUUGAUGGACAAUUUAUAUUUUGUUAUGAAAUUAAAUAUGUUGAUGGAUUAAUGUAUGAAUAUUAUGGUUUGUUGCUUAAUUUUCCAAAGUCAAUUUGGACUUUGAAGGUACGUGUACUUGUGGGGUUUAACUUAUGUUUUCUUACCUCAAAGAUAGUUUGAAUCAAAAUUAGAGAUUUAGUAAAUGAUAAAACUCAAAUUGAUUUAAUAUGAUUUAAAAGCAAUGGUAUUAUGCAUAGAUAAUAUUUAAAUUAAUUAUGUUAUUAUGUUAUUAAUUUAAAUUAAUUAAAUUUGACAGUUUUUUGCAGCUUAAAACUUAAAAGCAAUAACAGAAUAUUUAAAUUAAUUAUGUUAUUAUGCAAUAUGCAUAGAAUAUUUGUGACAUUUUUUGACAGUUUUGGUAUUAUUUGACAGUUUUUUGCAGCUUAAAACUUAAAAGCAAUAGCAGUGCUUAUUGCCCAAUGAUAAUAUGCUGCUAGUUCUUAUUACUUGUAUAAUCAUUUUUAUUUUUAUUCUCUUUUUUUAAGAAUUGAUUGUUACCUAAAUGUCACAAAUGUGUAAUUAUAGACAAUUAAAUAACAUUUAAAUUCAAUUAGUUGGUAAUUUUUUAAACUUACAGUGUAUUAGUUUAGUGUAAUACUACAUCAAUUCUAACAUAAAGUUUAUAGAUAACAUGAUGAAAGCUAUUAUUUAAAAAAAUUUUCAUUAUAUACAAAAAAAAAUAAUUUGAUAUUUGAUAUAACUUUAAUAAAAAUUAGUUUUAACUUUUAAGUAAAAAAAAACGGGCCGAGCCGGGCCGGGCCCGGGCUUCAUAUUUUUUCCAUGAGCUGGGCCUAGGCUACAUCUCAGGCCAUAUUUUGGGCCGGGCCCGGGCCCAGGCCUAGUAAGUGGGCCAAAAUUUUUUUGGGCCUAGCCCAUGAGCACCUCUAGUCACAACCUAGGCGUGGCAUGUGGUGAAAAAUGAUUAAAAAUAAAAAUCAAUAAAAGUUAUAAAAUUAUUAUAAAAUUUUAAUAAAGAAUAUUUAGAAGUUAUUAAAAAUUAGAAAAAAAAUUAUAAAUUUGUAAAAUUUUAUAAAAAUCAUAAAAUAUUAUAAAAUAUAUAGAAAUGUAGAAAAAAAUUAUAAUUUUUAUAAAGUCGUAAGAAAAUUAUAAAAAAUGUAAAGAAAUAUAAAAUUCAUAAAAAAUUAUAAAAUUUAUUGUAUCCCAUUAUCAUGUCUCUUCAGUACGCCCAAGUCGAUCAUAAUCAACCCAAUGUUUCCUUGAUUUGCUUGCCUUUCUCUCUUACUUACAUUCAAUCUUUUCUUGCUAGUUUUGUUUAUCAAACCAAUUUCUACCUAAACUUCAGAAAUAUUAGAAAAAGUGGGCAUCCUUGUAGUUAUUGUUGCAUUUUGUCACGCCAUAGUAUACAAAAAAAUUUGAUUCCUUGUGUUGCUUCAUUGUCAAUGUUUGUAAUAAUGUAUAAUGUACGUGUGUACCCAAAAAUUAUCUGAUUUCAUAUGUUUGUAAUUAUUUAUAUUGAAUAUGUAUGUAACACUCCCCAUAGAAGCAACUCCCACAGCAGUUUUGGUGCAAAAAACUUCAUCUACUUCUAUCAAUUCAUUCACUGGUAUAGCUCUUUCAACUAUUUGAUUUUAUAAUAUUUUUUACAAUUUUAUUUUUUUACUAUUUUAUAAAAAAAUAAUUUUUCUAUAAUACUAUAUAUUUUAUAAUUUUUAUGAUUUUUAUAAAAAAAAUUCAAUUUUUUUAUAAUUUAUUUAUGAUUUUUUUAUAAUUUUUGUGAUUUUUAUAAAUUUUUUUAUUUUAUAAUAAAUUUUAAAUAUUUUUUCUACAAAUUUUUUAUAUUUUUAAUAUAUUUCCAUAAUUUUUUAUAAAUUUUUAAUAAUUUUUUAUAACUUUAUUGAUUUUUAUUUUUUUAUCAUUUUUCAACACAUGUUGCGACACGUGAUGGCUUUAAUUGAAAAAAUUUUGGGGCCGUUAACUUUAACGGUCAAUAGUUGAAGUUAACGAUGAAAGGGCCUUUUUGAUACAUUUUGACAAUUCAAGUAUCCAAUUGAGUGGAGAAAAAACAGAGACUUAAUUGCUUUUCUUGAAAAAGUUCAAGGGCCUUUUACACCCUUAAGCCAAAAAUAUUUUAUUCUUAAUCUUAACGUAUACAGGUAGUUAAUGAAUAAUAGAUUGAAUCUUGAGAUUCUUUGUUUUGAUAUUUUAUCUGAUAUGUUAAAAAUUUGUAUAUCUUGUUUGGAUAUAUAUAUUUAAGGAAUUGAACACAUAUUAUAUUUCUAGAUAAUGUCUUAUCUUGGUUUUGUUAUGAUGUAUAAUGCCAAAAAUAGCCUGUAAUGGCCUAAAUUCAAGGUUAUUGGAAUAGUGGUUUCGUAACCAUAAAUCCGAUUUAAAGAGAAAUUUAUUUUAAUUUUUGCAUGAAUAUUGAUAUGAUAGGAAAAUCAUAUAAAAAUAUCGGUAGAAAAAUUUUACCGAUUUAUUGGUUAGUUAGAAAAAAAAUUUUAAAAAUUGGGUAAAAAAAUAUUGAGACCUCGAUCUAGUAAAACCAAGCCAAAAAUAUUUUUAUAAAUAUUUAUGAAGUGUUAGUAAUAUGGUAUUAAAUUUCGUUAGAAAAUUUUUACAUUGGGUAGUUUAAUUAAGUAAAACGGACUCAAUUAUGAAAAGGGUGUCUAAAGUUACUAGCAGAAUUCAACUCGCUCAAUUGUUAAAUUAGGAGGGACAUAAACUUGCAAAUAAAGCCCAAAAGGAGAUAUUUUGGGCAGCAUAAGCGGAGAAAAAUCAAGGAAGAAUUGGUGGAAAUAAGGGUAAAAUGGGAAAUAACAAAUGUACUAAAAUAAAAAUGGGUACUAACUUGUAAUAUCGAGAAUUCUUCUUCAUAUUUUAUUUCUUCAUUUCAUCAUCCAAAAGCUUACUAGUGUUAUUCAAGCUGGUAUUCAAUAAUUUUUGCACCAAGUGAGUUAAUCCUUGCCUUUUUCUUGUAAUUUUUGUGUUUCUAAGACUUUUACAACUAGGUCCUAUUACUAAAUUCAUUAGUUUUUGAUUUCAUGGAUGAAAUUGAAAGUCACUAUGGUUGAGUGUUGUAAUUUUUUGAUGAAAUAGCAUGAAAUUUAAGCUUUAAUUGGCUUAUGAGAUUAUUUUAUUAGGUAAUUUCAAUAGAAAUUGACUUGUAGGACCUAAUUGUGAAAAAGUUUGGAAUUAAAGUCUAGUGCUAAAAUUCUGAUUUCCAAAGGUUAUAAAGUAGUUUAAAAUGAUAGAAUAAAGUGUUAAUUGAGAAAAAUAAGCUCAAUUGAGAGGUUAAUUGAGCAGGGAUGAAAUUAUCAUUUAUUGAAAGCUUAGGAGAAAAAUGGUAAUUAACAUCAUGCACUAAAACAGUUUUGGACAGCAGCAGUAGGUUAACUUUAAAAAAUCACCAUAAAUUGUAGAGAUUGAAUUAGAGGAUAAAUAAAAUAUGAAAUUAAAUCUUAUUGAGUCUAGUUUCUUAUAGAAGAAACGGUGUAAGCAAUGGAGUUAUAAAUCAUAAGAUAUAAUAGGUUUUGUGAGACAAGGUUAGAAUGAUUUUGAGUUCCCCUGUUCUGAAUCUGGAAAAUUGUUAAAAAUUGUAAAAAAAAUAAUUAGGGGCUUAAAUUUAUAUGUUUAAAAUCCUUAAUGAGUCUAUUUUCAAAAGAAACAAACAAGAACAUCAUCUGAAUUCUGUACAAUGAGAUAAUUAAUUUUUAGUGAAGAGGGGUUGGGACUGUCGAACAGUGAAACAGGGAAAACUUUAAGGAAUAAACUGUACUUAUUGACUAAACCAAAAAUUAUGAAAAUUUUAUGGUAAGAAGAUAUGUGAGUCUAGUUUUGGGAAAAAUUAGCGGAUCUUAAUUUGGAGUUCCUUAUCUCAAUAUAUAAAUAUUUUAGUGACUAUGACUCAAGGAAAUAGCUCUGAAUGAACUAUAAAUGAUAAUGGAAUUAUAGAGAAUGUUACAAAUGAACAUGAAAUGUAUUAAAUUAAUAAUUAAAUUUAUUUAUUUAGAUCCGAAAAAUUCAAAUAUGAAGCUAGAUCGAGGAAAAGAAAAAGUUCGGGAUUAGUAGAUUUUUGCAUACGAACAAGUAUCGAGGUAAGUUCAUGUAAUUUGAAUUAUAUUCUUAAAUACUUGAAAUGUAUGUUAUUGAUGUGAAUAUAAUUUGAAUGUUCACUGUAUGUAAAUUGAUGAAACAUUGAUAUAUUUGAUAAAAAGGGGUAGAAAUCCCAGUUGAAUAGAAGGAAAAUUCGAUGGAUUUCUGAAAAGGAAUUGACGGUAAAAAGGAUCUAGCCCAGACGGGUGAUCCUAUCCUGAUAUAGUCCUCCCGAAGAAUAUGUGGAAAAUGGAUUUAGCCCAGACGGGUAAUCCAAAUUAGGGUCUGAAUUUAGCCUGGACUCGUAAUUCAGAUCCUAGCUCAUUAGAGUAAUUGUCAUUGCAGGGGAUUAAGCCUGGAUUGGUAACCCCGACAAUACUCUAUGAGUUUAUAUUACAGGAGAUUUAGCCUGGACUGGUAAUCCCGCUGUAAGGAUGAUGUUCGCAGGAGUGUGCUCUCUGAAAUGAAAAUAUGCGCACAUGAAUAUGAAUUGACGGACCCAGAUUUGUACACUAAAGUGUACUCCUGAAAAAUCCAUCGAAAUUCUGAGAAAUUCAACGGGAUAAAUAUGGAAAAAUAACAAGGGAAUGGGAAUCAUGGUAUUGAUGAGCUCAUCAAUCAUGGCAUAUAUUAUUGAUACAUGGAAAUUAUUGGGCUAACUUGAAUGUUGAGUUGUGCAUGUUAGGAAAAUAAUGCAUUGAAUAGAUGUAUGAAUGUUUAUUGCAUUAUAUUGAAUAUAUUAGGUAAGUAUAAUUUUUGUUACAUGAGUUUACUAGGCAUAAAGUGCUUACCUUAUUUUAUUUUCCCCUUUUUGGUAGUGUUAAGAGCUCGGAGGUCAAAUUCGGUCGGAGACGCAUCACACUAUCAAUCUCAAGAUUUCGAUAUAUAAAGAAACUUUAUUUUGAAAAUUAAUGGCAUGUAUAAGCUAACAAAGUAAAUGUUAAUAUGAAAUGAAUGUAAUGUUAGCCAUUGGUAUGGCUAACAAAUUUUGGUUUUGGUAUGUGAUGAUGUUAUCUUAUGGAUAUGUUUGAAUCUAUCUUGAAAAUAUGUUGAAGUGGAUUGUUGGUUUGGAUUGGUCUUGGUUUAAAAUUACAGGGAAGGUUAGAUAUUUAUAAAGGGGUUAUAUUGAGUCCAUAAAAAAAAACUUUGAGAUUCUGUGAAAAAUUUC